AAUACAGGAAACCAAGUAAGACCAUAGUUCAGCUAAGGACUUAGGCGUGCUUCGACAUGCCGACUUCCAAGUGCUGCAUGAAUAAGAGAGGAGAAAACCAAAAUGAAGGGACGGAAAGCAGGAAGAGAAAGCUGGGAAUGACAUAUUAAGAUUUUGCAAGGAUCCACCUCUGAAAUUCUGACAGAACUCUGGACCAGAUUUUCUCAUCUGCCAUUCCAGUAAUGAACCGUGCCUUCUGAAUUCAAUAUAGAAAGUAGGGAAACAAGUCAUGAAAAUAACAAUGUCCAUCCCCUUUGACACUUACGUAAUUGAGAGAGACAUCAAAGACUUCACUUCAGGACAACGUGUUCCAUCCUGGAACUGCCAUUGUUACAAAACAGAUUGUUUGAACUGUCUUUGUAGUCUAUAUUACCAUUUCUUUGAGGACUAACUGCAGACCCCAGGAUAUGAGAUUCAAGUCACUGUCCCUUACUGCUCAGAACAUGGCCAAGCAAGUGAGAUUAUUAUUAAUCAUUAGCUUUCCAAAUAAUUUAAUUUUUUGUUCUUUCAUAAAGUAUAUGUUUUGACUGGUA
RNAcentral lists this long non-coding RNA (572 nucleotides) under Crocodylus porosus (Australian saltwater crocodile). Its description in RNAcentral is "lncRNA (ENSCPRG00005001058.1)". Lineage: Eukaryota; Metazoa; Chordata; Crocodylia; Crocodylidae. The record is from RNAcentral.